UCAGUGAAAACCACGUGAUCAUCCACGCGAGCGGUCCGGAGUCGCUGAAGCCGGAGAAUCCGAGAUAACGCGGUGUGUAGCUGGAUGAACACAGCAGGUCAAGCUGUAUCAGAGGAGCAGGAAAGCUGGCGUUUCGGGCCUAGAUCCUUCGCUGAGACCAAGAUUUGUACAAUUGAGAUACCAGCAAUCGUCGCCAAAGCCCUGUUGCCUGUGGAGAAGGUUAACUUUCGUGUCCUGCUGCAGUUUGUAUGACGAAGGUGCUCCCACAAUGCGGCCAUUUGAGAAGUUAUAGAUCAUUCAUCUAGCAAUACUGGAGAGCUAAUGGUGUAUGUCCAAAUCAACAAACAAUUUGUAUUUUUAUCAUUUCACAAAAAUAUUAUCAAGAAACUUUUGACGUAAGCCCAUAUUAGGUCAGGUGACCAAAAAGUAACUAAAUUUGCAGGUUUUUAUGACUAUCUUAAAGAAGGAAUGCAAACCUAAGAGGUUUAUCAUGGGAAUUCCAGACCAUGUUGCCUGGCAACUGUAGAAACAGCCUCCAAUAGUGAAGCAAUGAUUAAACACACUUGAGUCUGAAACUAAAUGAGUUGUUGAAGUCUUGAAGGUUGUCUGGUGCAGGGAGAUAGGGCUCAUCACAGCCAGGAAUUAAAUCAAGGGUGGGACUUUUAAAUUGUUGCUUUAUAAAUAGGAGCCUUUGUGGGUCAGGGAGCACAGCAGUGAUGGGUGAACAGGUCUUGGUACAAAUGAACUUGUGUGCAGCAGAAUUUUAGGUAUUCUUGAGGUUACAAGGACAUUGAAUGUGGGAGGCCGACUGGCAGUGAGUUUGGAUAGUUAAGUCUAGAGGUAACACAGGAAUAGAUGAGAGGUUCAGCGGAUGAGCUGAAACUAAGGUGUCACUGUCGGGUCAUUGUCACUGAAGUGGAAGUAAGUGGUUUUGGUGCAGGACUCUGCAGUUACCCUCACCUCACCUCAGGAUUCAGCUGUUUGUGAAUUUGUGGAUCAAGUCUGUAAUAAGAUCAGGAACCGAGUGCUCGCCAUGACUCAAACUGGGUGUCACUGAGCAGGUUACUGCUGAGUAAGUGUUGCUUAAUAGCACUGUUGACAACACCUUCCAUCACUUUACUGAUGAUAAGAGAGUAGACUGCUUGAGGGGAAAUUGGUCGGGUUGGAUUUGCUGUGUUUUUGUGCUGAACGGACCUGGGCAGUUUUCCAAAUUGUCAAUAGAUGCCAGCGCUGUAGCAGGACUGAAACAGUUUGGCUUGGCGCUAGCAAGCUCUAGAGCACUAGUCAUCGGUACCAUUGCCAGAGUGUUGCCAGGGUCUGUAACCUUUCAUUCACUUAUUAAUAUUGUUUGAAAUGAAUCAAAUUGGAUGAAAACUCACAUCUGAUGUCGGGGACCUCUGGAGAAGGUGAGAUGGAUCAUCCAAUUGGCAUUUUUGGCUGAAAUUUGCUGCAGUCUUAUCUUUUGCGUGGAUAGGUUGGGCUCCUCUGUCUGUAAGGAUGAGGAUUUUUGGCAUGCUUCCUCCAGUGAGUUGCUUAAUUGUCCAUCACCAUUCUCAACUGGGUGUGGCAGAACUGCAGAGCUUACAUUUCAUCUAUUGGUUAGGGGUGGCUCAGCUCUAACUCUUGCUGCUUAUGCUAUUUGGCAUGCAGAUAGUCCUGUUUGGUAGUUUUGAGGUUGGCACCUUAUUUUAAGGUAUGCCUGGUGCUGCUCUUGGCAUGCCCUCCGAUACUAUCCGUUCAACCAGUGUUGAUCCCUUGGAUCAAUGCUAAUGGUUGUCUGUAGGAUAUGCCAAGCCACGAGGUUACAGACUGUGCUGGAUUAAGUUCUGCUGUUGAUGUCCCACAAAGCCUCAUAGAUAUCUGGUUUUGAGUUCCUGUGUCUGUUCCAAGUCUGUCUCUUUCAGCUGAAGUUCGUGCCACCCAACGCAAUGGUGGGUAUUGUAUCAGUGAUAAUGGGAACUGCAGAUGCUGGAGAAUCCAAGAUACAGUCAACCGCAUUGCUGUGGGUUUGGAGUCACAUGUAUUGCAGACCAGGUAAGGAUGGCAGAUUUCCUUCCCAAAAGGAUGCAAAUGAACCAGAUGAGUCUUCCCUGAUAAUCAGCAAUGGUUUCAUGGUCAUCAUUAGACUCGUUAAUUCCAGAUAAUUACUUAAUUCAGGUUUCGCCAUCUGCCAUGGCAGCAUUCGAACCCAGGUCCGCAGAAUGCUAUCUGGGUCUCUGGAUUAAUAAUCUAGCAAUAAUAAUGCUGCCAAUUUAUCAACCGAGGAAGGAUGAUACAUGGUAACCAGCAGGAGCCAUGAGACUUCCAGGCGUCGAUGUCGAGUACUCUCAGGACAAAUAAUCCAGUCAGAAUAGCACUGUGUUGCCACGUCUGCCGGGUCUGUCCUGCUCGUGGGACAGGCCUUCACUGAGGACAGUGGUGAUGUGUCGUUGUCUGUAAGGUUAGUUUCCAUGAGUCUGAUGCUGUUUCUUGUCUAGACUUUGAGUCACCUCUCCAAGUUUUGCUGCUCGCCCCAGAUAUGAGUAAAGAGGAGUUUGUGUGGUCGAUAGGACUAAUUCUGCAGGUGUCUUUCCUCGUGCUUUGGUAGAUGCCAAGUGGGCCACCCAGCUUCAUACCUUUGUUGAGAUUUUGCAACUGAGUGGCUUGGUUGGCAAAUUUCUUUCCCUGAAGGACAUUAGAUUUUUUUGUUUUUGUUUUCUGCCAUUAGCAAUGGUUCCAUGGCAACCAGCUGAUACUAAAUUCCAGUCUUUUUUAAAUUGAAUUCAAAUUCCACCAUUUGCUGCGAUGGGAUUCGACCCAGACUUCUGUUGUACAUUUUAAUAUUUUAGAUAAAAGUUAAUAUCACCAAUGCAGGCUUUUUUUCGUUGCAAAACGCUGUCCAUCAUCCUGUCUCCUCCAUCCUCCCCUGCAACAGCAAGUGAGGGAGACACAUGGAGUUUCUAUGCCACUAAGAUUGAGACAAUCCAAUCAACUGCCUCUGCUGCUUCCCUCUCUUCCACGAGCCCACCAAACCAAAUUGCCUGGCACGUUGCUCCUCGUUUUAGGCUUAAACUUGCUUCUUUGUCCAGUCCCAUGUCAAGCCUUAUCAGAACUUAUCCUAACCCUUUUCCCUAUUCUCUUAAACUCCAAAUAUUCGCGCUCUCGCUCUUUCCCCCACCCAUGCCAAUUCGCAGAUAUUGUUACUUGUUCUGUCUGCUUCUCUUUUCUGGUUAUGUCCUUCUCACCCAUUCUGUUUAAAACCAAUGUUUGACCUCACCGUCAUUGGAAAAUCCCACUCCAUCUCCACUCCUGCCUGAAAUCAAUGUCGUCGUUGUCCCUCAAGGGUCUAUCCUUGGUCCAUCCUGUUUCUCACCGACAUACUGCCAGGAGGCGAGGUCUUCCACAAGCACUGUCAGGUUUUGCAUGUAUUCUACAAUGUUCAGAUCUCACUCCCCCCUCAUCACUCUCCUUUGCUCCACUGGUACUCAAUUAUAAAACUGCUUAUCAUACUUCCACUACUUGAUUAGCUGAAAUUUCCUCCAAUAACACUUUGUGAUAGUUAAACAUGUUCCUGUCAGUUAUUAUUACAAAUUACUUUUCCUUACUACUGUACUGAAUCCAUCCCUCUCGCUGGGAACUGUCUGAGGUUGAACUGCACUCUUCUCAAUAAUGUUCUCACAUCUGGCCUCAUGAUGAACACCCUAACAUACAUCUUCUCAAUCACAUGUCAGAAAUUUCAAUCUCUAAAAUGCUCCUCCUCUCCACCUCACUCCAGCUCAUUUGUGACCGAAACCCCUUACCCAUGUCUGUGUUGCCUUAAACUUGACGAUUCCAAAAGAGAACCCUCUAUUGUCUGCCUGAUCAGGAAUCUGCUCCCACGAUGGGAAAUAUCCCUUCAGCAUUUAUCCUGUAAACCCACUUAAGAAUCCUAUAUUUUUAAUUAGCUCGUCUCUCCAUCUUCAAUUAUCUAAAUAAUAGAUUCCAGGCCUGUUCAGUCUUAGCUUAAAUGAUAGUCCCUCCAAACCAGUGAUCGUGCUAGUCCAUCUUCUCUGAAAUGCCUCCAGUGAAGUGAUAUACUUGCUCGAAUAAGUGGACCAAAAAAGCUGCUCGCGUUCCUCCAGAUGUUGUCUUGCCAGCAAUUUGUACAUUUGCCCUAAGACAUGUAUUCCAAACUCUUAUACUGCAAACACCUUGACAUAAGGGCUAACAUCCCAUUACCCUCCCGGAUUACCUGUUGCAACUGUGUGCUCGCUUUGUGUUUCCUGCACAAUUAUUCCUGAGUCCCGUUGUGUUACAGUUUUCCACAGAUUUUACCUUUUAAGCAACACUGUAUUCUUUGGUUGUCUCCUGAAAUGAACAACUUCACAUUUUCCCACAGUUGUACUCCAUUUGCCAACUUGUCGCCCAUUUAUCUGUCUCUCCAUAAACCGUAACCCUCAUGGAACUUGACUGUUAUCCCCUUUUUUUUGAGAUCCUCCCUCAUUCUUUUUGUUGGGAGCACUGGGCAACAUGGCGCAUAUGUAAUUGCUAUCUUUUUAAGGGACAUUCUUUUGAAUGACCAGAAGCUUACUGUCCAUUGCUCAGAAUCGAGACAACUUGUCCAUCAAGCUGCAUCAGCUUUUCCAGCCCAUUGUCUCAUUGUGGCACUGCAGCAGCACAGAAGGAAAGAAUAGGAAGCGAAUCCAGCUGUCUGCAUCUCACUAACUCUCAGGAAUUCUUUGCCAUGUGUCAAAAACCUGCUGAUUUGUUUAGUGACAUGAAGUCCCAAGGUGGAAAUUCCUAGAAACCCCAAUACAUUUCCCCCUGAAUCAACUGCUGACCCCCACAAGGGAUAAUGUGUAGCAGGAACAAUGCACAGUUAUCCUCGGCCAGGAGGAGGGGAUGGUGUGAAUUUCUAACCGGACUGACUGAUGGAUUUUAUGAAUUUGUGUUACAGGAUAUUACAAGUGGACUUUCAGGUGGGAAGCUCAAUAAUUGUAACACCAAACUCUGACAGAAUUACUCAAUUCAUCAGGACCUGGAUAUUCGCAUUAUAUGAGUAUUGUGUUCCUGCUCAUCUCCCAUUUGCCACGUAAAAUUUCUCUUUUAAAUCACCCCAUCUCUCGAUAGAUCGUCCCGUAAACUUUCAAUAUAUGUCCUGUAAUCAUUUGUCUGGUCAGUUGAUGAGUGGGUGUACGUUUUAUCAUUGUAAUGUAUAUCUUUUGUAAACAUCUGUCAAAGGUCCCCUCAAAACCGUUUGUUACAAGGAGAAUAAUCUGUUUCCCCAAACACCUGAUUCCCCAAUGACUGACUUUGUUUGCUGUCGAUAAGGAACUCAUCCAUGAAUGGAUGUUGAAACAUUUUCCACUUCCCUGCAUCAGUGCAGCCCUGACAAUAUGAAAGAAAGUGAACAUCCUCCAGAUGAAGCACUGUGUCAGAGUGGUGUCCCAUCCACCACAUUCAACAUUCCCCUCUACACCACUGAGGCACAGUGGCAUCACUGUGUCAAAGGUAAUGUCACCGUAGUCCUACUUGACCAUAGGGCUGGUUUAACCUGAAGAUUACCACACCCCAGGCAAGGGGAGAGGUUGAGAAGGAGAGUUCAUCUAUUGUAGAUGGAUAUUCUCAAUAAGUACCAGCAACACCCAAGUCACAUGAAAGAAUAAUGUAAAACAAAAACAGCCCUAACCAUGCAACUAAAAACCCUCUUCCUACAAACCAUUCUGUUAAAUCUCCUCUGCCCCCUAUCAGGGACCCUCCCGUCCUUCACAGUGUGUGGGGGAUCCUUGGUUUGCACAGACUCAGUUCGUCUCUGUUCCUGUCUGUGAUGUCAUCAUGCUGUGACAAUGGCACUGAACCUCACUCUCUCUGAGGGUGGUAGGCACAGAGAUCCUCAUAGCGUUUAAGGCAUAUUUAGAUGCCCACUUGUGAUGCCAAUGCAGACAAGUCUAUGGGCCAAGUGCUGGAAAAUUAGAUUAGAGUAGUUAGGUAAUGGUUUUUUUUUAACUGGCACAGGCUGAAUGGGCCACAGAGCCUCUUUCUGUACUGUAGACCUCUGGGACACUUCACAUAGGAAGAUGCCCAGCAAUAUUUCAAGCCAUUUCAGAAAAUAAGAUAUUAGAAUGAAUGACUCAUGAUUGCUCAGUGUUUUCUGGAGAAAAGUGAGGUACAAAGAUGAAGUGGUUUACCAGGAAUUUCUGGAGCUUGAAUCCCAGGAAAUUGCAAGUGCCACCAUCAAGUGGAGGAAUAAAAAUGGGGCAUCAUCAUUAGGACUGUAUGAGAGGAAGGGACAUAUUGAGAUUUGUGAGACUGGAAGGGUUCUGAGACUGGAGAAGAUUUCAAAUGUCCGGAAAAGUGAGGUCGGAGGAGGUUACAGAAAUGGUGAGGAUUGUGAGGCUGGACUAGAUGUCAAACAAAGGGAGCUUUGUGAGGGUAAAGACAAUUAGAGCUGAGGAAGUUUAUAUGGGCUGGAGGAAUUUAGAGAGACAGGAGGGUGUUGAACAAAGAACGAAGAAAAUUACAGAACAGGAACAGGCCCUUCGGCCCUGUAAGCCUGUGCCAAUCCAGAUCCUCUGUCCAGACCUGUCACCUAUUUUCCAAUGAUCUGUAUCCCUCUGCUCCCUGCCCAUUCAUGUAUCUGUCUAGAUACAUCUUAAAUGAUGCUAUCGUGCCCACCUCUACCACCUCCGCUGGCAGUGCGUUCCAGGCACACUCCACCUGCUGUGUAAAGAAUUUACCACACAUAUCCCCCUUAAUCUUUCCCCUCUCACCUUGAAAUCUGGAGGAGAUUAGAGGUGAGGUUUGUGAGACUGGAGGAAUCUACAGAGAUGGUGAGAAUUCAGAGGCUAGAGAGGGAUUCCAACGAUAGGCAGGUCGUGAGGCUGGAGAGGGAUUCCAGCAAUGUGGAGGGUGGUGAGGCUCGAGGUGAUGGCUGCAAUAGUGCAAGUCGUGAGGCUUGAGGGUCAUUCUCAUGAUAGGGAGGGUAGUGAGGUUUGAGGUAUGAUUCCUGUGAUAGAAAGGGUGGUGAGGCUUCAGGGCAGAUUAUCGUCUAAACAGCGCAGAGGUGUACUUACAGCACGUGGAGUGCAGCAGUCGCAGGAAGUGGUUCACCAUCACUUUCUCCAAAUCAAAUAAAAAUGGGCAAUCAAUAUUAGUGGUCUUUGCCCAGAUAUCCCAUAAGUAAAUUAAAAUUAUGAUGGGUUUCUGGUUUGGAGAGAGCUAGACGAAGCUGAGAUAAUUCUCCUUGGGGCUAAUUAGCAAUGAUUUUGUCGAGUUGUAGAUUUGUUUCCAGGAUAUUAGUUUGCAGAGAGAGAAAAAUUAUUAACCAUGUCAACGUUGGUAACCGCAGAAUACAACACUCAGAUAAUUGGCAAAUAAUGCAGGGUGAAAAUGUGAAGAUUACUUGACUCAGCAAGUUCCCAGGACCUGGAACAGUCUGAAUGGCAGCUGGAUGCAGAUUUAGCAGUUCUGAUCAAAAGAGAGUUGGGAUUAACUUUUUAAGGCAUGAUCAAGAGAGCGUUGGACAAAUGGCAAGGGAAUUGGGUCAGAUUUGCAUCACCUCUAGAAUGAGAGUGAAGCCUUUGACAGGGUUCCACAUGCUAGACUGAUGAGGAAAGUGAGAUCACAUGUGAUUCAGGAAGAGCUUGCUAAUUGGAAGCAGAAUUGGCUGAGUUGUAGGAGAGACCGUGGUGCUGGAGGAUUUUUCAGAGUGGAGUUCUGUAACCAGCGUGUUCCACAGCAAUCGGUACAGGGUCAACUUCUUUGUUUCUCGUUAACAUAAAUGAUUUGGAAGAGAAUUUAAGGGACAAAAUUAAUAAGUUUGCAGAUGAUGCUAGAAAUGGUGUUUAUAGUGGUUAGUGAAGGUUAUCUAAGAUGACAGCAAGAUCUUGAUCAAUUGGCUCAAUGGGUUGAGGAGUGGAGGAUGAAGUUCAAUUUGAAUAAACGUGAGACAUUGUAUUUUGGUAAAAUGAACAAGUGUAGGACUUACACAGUUGAUGGUUGCACCCAGGGUAGUGUUGUGGAACAGAGAAAUGCGGAGAUUCAGGUACAUACUACUUUGAAGUUUAUGGAGACCGGUAGACAGGCUGGUUAAUAAGUUGUUUCGCACACUUGCCUUCAUUGCUCAACCUUUGGAGUCUCGGAGUUUGGAUGUUAUGUUGAGAUUGUACAGGACAUGGUGAAGCUUCAUUUGAGGUAUUGUGUGCAGUUCUGGUCACCCUGUUACAGGAAAGAUGUUAUUAUUAAACUGGAGACAGGUCAGGAAAGAUUUGCUGGGAUGUUGCCAGGAAUGAUGGGCUUGAUUAUUAAAAUAGACUGCCAAAGCUAGGACUUUUCUCACUGGAGCAUAGGAGGUUAAGGGGUGACCUUACAGAGGCUUAUAAAAUCAUGAGGGCACAUAUUAUGUUGCUAUUAAGGGCUUUUUUCCCUAGGGUUGGGCGAUUUCAAGACAAGGGGACACGUGUAAGAUGAGAGGAGAAAGACAUAUUUAAAAAAAGACAAGAGGCUGAGAUAGUAAAUAAGUGUUUCACAUGAGUAUUUAAUGCAGAGAAGGAUAUGGAAGCUAGAGAGCUUGGAGACAUAAAUAAUGAGUUGUGAAAAGUGUCCAUAUUACAGUGGUUUAGGUGCUGUACAUCUUAAACUGCAUAAAGGUGGAUAGGUCCCUGGCACCUGAUCAGGUGUUACCCACAAACAGAGGGUGGUGAGGCUUCAGGGCAUUUCCCUUUUGCUGUCCUGGAACAUGUACUACCGCUGGGUCCCUUGCUGAGAUAUUUGCAUCACUGAUAGACACUGGUGAAGUGCCAGAAGGCCGGGUGGCUAAUGUGGUGCCAUUCUUUAAGGAAAAGCCGGAGGACCAUCGACCGUUGAGACUGAUGUCAGUGUUGGGUAAGUUGCUGGAGGGGAUUCUGAGGGACUGGAUUUGCAUGUGUUUAGAGAAGCAAAGACUCAUUAGGGAUAGUCAACAUGGCUUUGAGAGUGGGGAAUCUUGUCUCACUAACUUGACUGAGUUUUUUGAAGAAGGCAAAGCAGUGGACAUUGUCUAUAUGGACUUCAGCAAGGCAUUCACCAAAGCUCCACAUGACAGACUGUUAAGCAAGAUUAGAUCAAAUGGAAUCCAGGGAGAGUUAGUUAUUUGAAACAAAAUUGGCUUGAAGGUAGGAUACAAGAUCAUGGGUGGGGGGUGGGUGUCUAUUUUUUCAGUCUGGAGGACUAUGAACAGCAGUGUGCUGCAAGGAUCGGUGCUGGGUCCACUGCUUUUUGUCGUUGAUACAAAUCAUGUGGAAUGAAUAUUAGAGGAAUGGUUAGUAAGUGUGCAGAUGACACAAAUUGUUGGUGUAGUAAACAGCAAAGAAGUUUGCCUCCAAGUACAAUGGGAACUUAAUCAGAUGGGUCGAUGGGCCGAGGAGUGCUAGAAAUCAGUUUAGUUUGGAUAAAUGCGAGAUAUUGCAUUAUGGUAUUGAAAAUCAGGGCAGGGCUGAAACAGUUACUGAUGAUGCCCUGGGGACUGUUACACAACAGAGACUCCUUGGGGUGCAGGUGCACAGUUCCUUGAAGGUGGAUUGUCGGUACAGAAGGUAGUGAAGAUGAUAUUUGCUAUGCUGCAUUUAUUGGUCAGUGCAUUGAGUGUAGGAGUUGGGAGGUCAUGUUAUAGGCUGACUAAGGCAUUGAUUAUGCUGUGUUUGGAAUACUGUUCAGUUCUGGGCUCCCUGCUGUAGGAAUGAUGCUGUUAAACUUGGCAGGGUGCAGAAAAGAUUUACAAGGAUGUUGGAAGAGUUGGAAAUUUUGAGCUGUAGAGAGAGGCUGAAUACACUGGGGCUGUUUUCCCUGGAGCAUUGAAGGCUGAGAGGUGACCUUAUAGAAGUUAAUAAAAUUAUGGUGGGCAUAGGGUGAGUAGCCAGUUUAAGCUGAGAGGGAAAGUUAUUUUUUAAAAGGGAAGGUGGGUGGUGCCUGUGUAGAAUGACCUGCUAGAGGAACUGGUGGAAGCUGGGACAAUUAUGACAUUUUGAGAGGCAUCUGGAUGGGCAUGUGAAUAGGAAGGGUUUAGAGGAAUAUACGUCAAAUGCUUGCAAAUGGGAUUAGAUUAAUUUGGGAUAUCUGGUCAGCAUGGACAACUGGGACCAAAGGGAUUGUUUCGUGGUGUACAACUCUGACUAAGCAUUUUUUGUUUUCAUUUCAGAUUUCCACAAUUUUACUUCUGCACUGUUCUUAGUCUUUCGAUCCCUCUGAAAGACUGAGUUACAGAUCUAUACAAUGCCUGUCCUUCCUCCCUGGCUCUCCCACCUCUCUUUCAGGAGUUUUGUGCAAACACUGACUGGAUCCCUUACCUGGAGGAUAUUUAUUUAUGAAUUUGUUCUAAUGAUAAUCCAGCAUAUUCCCCAAGUGUCGCUCCACAAAUGUCCAGAGGAUUUCUCAGUUUCACAAUCUGUGUGUGUUCUUCUGGUUCCUCGCUCACUGCACUUGCUUUCUGUUUGAAAGCUUAGUCUACAGUUGGAGAAUUCAAACAGGAACACAUCCAGAUCUGACAGUCACUUUGUUUAUCACAACUCAAUUACCUCAGGAUUUUGAACACUGAAGGAAAAAGCAGUUCUCACAGUGGGGAGAAAUGCACAUGAUCUGUGAAGAUUCAUCUGAAAUGUCCUUACACCAGCUCAGUGACAUGGGGGAGAGACCAUUCACCUGCUCUAAAUGUGGGAAAGCAUUCACUCAGUCAUCCAAACUGUUAACACACCAGUGAGUUCACAAAGAAGCACAGUUGAAGGAUUUUGCUGUCACUCCAUCAAAUGAACCAUGGUUUUGGGCUGUUUGUACUGAUGUUACUGAUCCCUGUGCAAUUAAAGGUACUGGUAUUGUGGAUAAAAUGUUAAUAUCAGUUGUGUAUCUGUAAGGUAGAGCUUGGAAAUAGUCAAGUUGUCAUGACACAUCGACACAUUCACACUGACGAAAGACUAUCCACCCGCACGGUACGUGAAAAGGGAUUUCCUGGUUCAUCAGGACUGGUGAACUAGCAGCAAAUUUCUGAGUAACUGUGAAGUUGGUUUUUGAUUCUGCUGUUAGCUUAUACUAACCAUGUUUUUUGGGCUUGCUUCUGGAGACCAUAGGAUCCCUCUGGUGUGGAAGCAGACCAUUUAGCCCAUCAAGUCCACACUGAACUUAUGAAGAGUGUCUUACCCGUACCCUGCCUGCGUGGGUUUCCUCCAGGUGCUCUAGUUUCCUCCCACAGUCCAAAAAAUAUGCAAAUUGGGUAGAUUGACUAUGCUAAAUUGCCCAUAGUGUCACGUAUGCAAAAUGCAAGGACAGAGUAGGGUGUGAGACUGGGUGGGAUGCUCUUUGGAGGGUUCGUGUGGACUCAAUGGACUGAAUGGCCGUCUUCCACACUGUAGGAAUUCUAUGAUGAUCUCGAUGGCCCUUUAUUUGUUAGUUAUGCUUGGUCAACAUGUCUGCACACCUUUACCAUUACAGAUUCUAUUGCUCUCCACAGACAUGUUUCAAUUUUUAAUAGAUAUUUGUUUAUUGGAAACAAUGCAAUCUUUCCUUUUGUUUUUUAUCCACAAAAUGAAAGUUUUAAAUCGAAACAAAAGAUUGGGAUGAGUCCUGUACUAUAAUCCCUGAUUGGGAAAAUGCAAUCAGCUAUGAAACCUGGUGACCAUUGUGACUCUGUCCGGGGGAAAUGCAGUCUCCUCAGAUCCUUACCUGUUGUCCAUAGCAGUGAUGGAUCUCAUGAUGAAUACAUAUACACUAGAUAUCACACAAUGUCUUGGUUUAUUUUCUAUUUAUUCUUCUGUCCAUUACUCCACAGAGACUGAGAUAACGGUCUGGGGACCUAGGUUUGAAACCCACCAUUCCAGAUGGUAGAAUUUGAGUUUAAACAAAAAAAUCUGAAAUAAGAAUCUAAUGAUGACUGUAAAUCUGUUUUCAUUGUUGGAAAAACCUAUGUCUUUUAGGGAAGGAAACUGCCAUUCUUAUCCAGGGAUAUCAAGAUCCCAUGAAUGAAGUUUUAAAAAUUAAUUUAAAAAAAACUCCUGCAAAUA
Molecule: long non-coding RNA, 11984 nt
Organism: Stegostoma tigrinum
Lineage: Eukaryota; Metazoa; Chordata; Chondrichthyes; Orectolobiformes; Stegostomatidae
Exons: 2
Source: RefSeq, a predicted model, not a curated record